AACGCGUAUACAAUCUACCUUUUACAGGGGGAUAGCCUUUAGAAAUGAAGAAUAAUACCCCAUAGUAUUUAAAUUUCGCAUGUUAUUUAGAUUAAAGUUUCGGCGGUAAAAGAUGAGUAUGCGUUCUAUUAGCUAGAUGGUAAGGUAACGGCUUACCAUGGCAACGAUAGAUAGGGGCCCUGAGAGGGGGAUCCCCCACACUGGUACUGAGACACGGACCAGACUCCUACGGGAGGCAGCAGUGAGGAAUAUUGGACAAUGGGCGAGAGCCUGAUCCAGCCAUGUCGCGUGCAGGAAGACUGCCCUAUGGGUUGUAAACUGCUUUUAUACAGGAAGAAACCCACCUACGUGUAGGUGGCUGACGGUACUGUAAGAAUAAGGAUCGGCUAACUCCGUGCCAGCAGCCGCGGUAAUACGGAGGAUCCAAGCGUUAUCCGGAAUCAUUGGGUUUAAAGGGUCCGUAGGUGGAUAAUUAAGUCAGAGGUGAAAUCCUGCAGCUCAACUGUAGAAUUGCCUUUGAUACUGGUUAUCUUGAAUUAUUGUGAAGUGGUUAGAAUAUGUAGUGUAGCGGUGAAAUGCAUAGAUAUUACAUAGAAUACCAAUUGCGAAGGCAGAUCACUAACAAUAUAUUGACACUGAUGGACGAAAGCGUGGGGAGCGAACAGGAUUAGAUACCCUGGUAGUCCACGCCGUAAACGAUGGUCACUAGCUGUUCGGACUUCGGUCUGAGUGGCUAAGAGAAAUUGAUAAGUGACCCACCUGGGGAGUACGUUCGCAAGAAUGAAACUCAAAGGAAUUGACGGGGGCCCGCACAAGCGGUGGAGCAUGUGGUUUAAUUCGAUGAUACGCGAGGAACCUUACCAGGGCUUAAAUGUAAGUUGCAUUAGUUAGAGAUAGCUAUUUCUUCGGACCACUUACAAGGUGCUGCAUGGUUGUCGUCAGCUCGUGCCGUGAGGUGUCAGGUUAAGUCCUAUAACGAGCGCAACCCCUGUUGUUAGUUGCCAGCAUGUAAAGAUGGGAACUCUAACAAGACUGCCGGUGCAAACCGUGAGGAAGGUGGGGAUGACGUCAAAUCAUCACGGCCCUUACGUCCUGGGCUACACACGUGCUACAAUGGUAGGGACAGAGAGCAGCCACUUCGCGAGAAGGA
This 1150-nucleotide ribosomal RNA is filed under the name Winogradskyella sp. PG-16. RNAcentral's name for it is "bacterial SSU rRNA". It matches the Rfam family "Bacterial small subunit ribosomal RNA", at positions 112 to 1266 of the family's 1533-position model. Lineage: Bacteria; Pseudomonadati; Bacteroidota; Flavobacteriia; Flavobacteriales; Flavobacteriaceae. The record is from RNAcentral.